UCCUCGGUAGCUCAAUGGUAGAGCACCUGGCUGUUAACCAGGGUGUUGCAGGUUCGAGUCCUGCCCGAGGAGCCA
RNAcentral lists this transfer RNA (75 nucleotides) under Acidobacteria bacterium RBG_16_64_8. RNAcentral describes it as "tRNA-Asn". It matches the Rfam family "tRNA". From Rfam's summary of the family: Transfer RNA (tRNA) molecules are approximately 80 nucleotides in length. Their secondary structure includes four short double-helical elements and three loops (D, anti-codon, and T loops). The record is from RNAcentral. Lineage: Bacteria; Pseudomonadati; Acidobacteriota. RNAcentral also lists the same sequence under 5 other names.